GGGCGAUUAGCUCAGUUGGUUAGAGCGCUUCAUUCACAUUGAAGAGGUCGUAGGUUCAAGUCCUAUAUCGCCCACCA
Molecule: transfer RNA, 77 nt
Filed under: Chloroflexota bacterium
Lineage: Bacteria; Bacillati; Chloroflexota
Description: Chloroflexi bacterium (groundwater metagenome) tRNA-Val
Rfam family: tRNA
About the family: Transfer RNA (tRNA) molecules are approximately 80 nucleotides in length.
Source: RNAcentral